Molecule: ribosomal RNA, 389 nt
Filed under: Chlorococcum sp. MACC 482
Lineage: Eukaryota; Viridiplantae; Chlorophyta; Chlorophyceae; Chlamydomonadales; Chlorococcaceae
Description: SSU rRNA
Rfam family: Eukaryotic small subunit ribosomal RNA
Source: RNAcentral
CAMCUKGUUGCAGUUAAAGCUCGUAGUUGGAUUUCGGGCGGCGCGUCGCGGUCUGCCAUUGGUACGUACUGCGCCCGCGUCGCCUUGCUGCCGGGGACGCGCUCCUGGGCUUCACUGUCUGGGACGCGGAGUCGGCGAGGUGACCUUGAGCAAACAGGAGUGUUCAAAGCAAGCGCACGCUCUGAACUUUUUAGCAUGGAAUCACGCGAUAGGACUCUGGCCUAUCCCGUUGGUCUGUAGGACCGGAGUAAUGAUUAAGAGGGACAGUCGGGGGCAUUCGUAUUUCAUUGUCAGAGGUGAAAUUCUUGGAUUUAUGAAAGACGAACUUCUGCGAAAGCAUUUGCCAAGGAUGUUUUCAUUGAUCAAGAACGAAAGUUGGGGGCUCGAAG